Molecule: ribosomal RNA, 468 nt
Filed under: uncultured bacterium
Lineage: Bacteria
Description: partial 16S ribosomal RNA
Rfam family: Bacterial small subunit ribosomal RNA
Source: RNAcentral
GACGAACGCUGGCGGCGUGCUUAACACAUGCAAGUCGAACGGAAAGGCCCUGCUUUUGUGGGGUGCUCGAGUGGCGAACGGGUGAGUAACACGUGAGUAUCCUGCCCUUGACUUUGGGAUAACUUCAGGAAACUGGGGCUACUACCGGAUAGGAGCUCGUGCUGCAUGGUGGGGGUUGGAAAGUUGCGGCGGUUGGGGUUGGACUCGCGGCUUAUGAGCUUGUUGGUGGGGUAGUGACUUACCAAGGCUUUGACGGGUAGCCGGCCUGAGAGGGUGACCGGGCACAUUGGGACUGAGGUACGGGCCAGACUGAUACGGGAGGCAGCAGUGGGGAAUAUUGCACAAUGGGCGGAAGCCUGACGCAGCAACGUCGCGUGCGGGAUGACGGCCUUCGGGUUGUAAACCGCUUUCGCCUGUGACGAAGCGUGAGUGACGGUAAUGGGUAAAGAAGCACCGGCUAACUACGUG